GGUCUUGUGGCCUAAUGGAUAAGGCGUCUGACUUCGAAUCAGGAGAUUGUGGGUUCGAGUCCCAUCAAGAUCG
This is a non-coding RNA of Phascolomyces articulosus, 73 nucleotides long. Lineage: Eukaryota; Fungi; Mucoromycota; Mucoromycetes; Mucorales; Lichtheimiaceae. The record is from the annotation of a GenBank genome assembly.